Molecule: transfer RNA, 63 nt
Filed under: Enterococcus caccae
Lineage: Bacteria; Bacillati; Bacillota; Bacilli; Lactobacillales; Enterococcaceae
Rfam family: tRNA
About the family: Transfer RNA (tRNA) molecules are approximately 80 nucleotides in length. Their secondary structure includes four short double-helical elements and three loops (D, anti-codon, and T loops). Further hydrogen bonds mediate the characteristic L-shaped molecular structure. tRNAs have two regions of fundamental functional importance: the anti-codon, which is responsible for specific mRNA codon recognition, and the 3' end, to which the tRNAs corresponding amino acid is attached (by aminoacyl-tRNA synthetases). tRNAs cope with the degeneracy of the genetic code in two manners: having more than one tRNA (with a specific anti-codon) for a particular amino acid; and 'wobble' base-pairing, i.e. permitting non-standard base-pairing at the 3rd anti-codon position.
Source: RNAcentral
GGUAUAGCCAAGUGGUAGGGCACAGGUCUGCAAAACCUUGAGCAUCGGUUCAAACCCGAUUAC